This 344-nucleotide ribosomal RNA is filed under the name uncultured bacterium. Its description in RNAcentral is "bacterial SSU rRNA". It matches the Rfam family "Bacterial small subunit ribosomal RNA", at positions 355 to 714 of the family's 1533-position model. The record is from RNAcentral.
UGGGGAAUAUUGGGCAAUGGGCGAAAGCCUGACCCAGCAACGCCGCGUGGAGGAAGAAGGUUUUCGGAUCGUAAACUCCUGUCCUCAGGGAAGAGAAGGAGACGGUACCUGAGGAGGAAGCCCCGGCUAACUACGUGCCAGCAGCCGCGGUAAUACGUAGGGGGCGAGCGUUGUCCGGAAUGAUUGGGCGUAAAGGGCGCGUAGGCGGCCUAUUAAGUCUGGAGUGAAAGUCCUGCUUUCAAGGUGGGAAUUGCUUUGGAUACUGAUGGGCUGGAGUGCAGGAGAGGAAAGCGGAAUUACCGGUGUAGCGGUGAAAUGCGUAGAGAUCGGUAGGAACACCAGUG